This 1346-nucleotide long non-coding RNA is filed under the name Olea europaea subsp. europaea. The record is from RNAcentral. Lineage: Eukaryota; Viridiplantae; Streptophyta; Magnoliopsida; Lamiales; Oleaceae.
GGCAAUUUAACCUUCAAGACUUCUUUCAUUACCCUGGAAGUGGCAUGCAUUAUUUAAAUUGUGUUAAUUUUUUUUUGGCUUCUUUCAAUCAAUUUUGUCAUGUGAAGACAGUGAAGUUCAGUUUGGAUUUAACCUUUUUUUAAAGAUAUCAGUUCCUUCUUCCAUUCUUAUUAAGAAACUAAUUUCAAUAAAAUAAUAAUUAUUAUUAUUAGUUUAUUACAUUAAGCUUAUGGACUUCUGAAGUGAUUAUGAAAUUUUGCUUUCGGAAUAUAGGUGAACUAUUUCAACAUAUAUGUCCGCAAGUCGAACACAACUGAUGGUGGUAUAUCUUGCAACAGGAGGCACUUUCUUCUUAAAAAGCAGUAAGGGGUGUAAGGGGUAACAUUUUCUUCAAUGAUGUUGACAUUGUUAAUUUGAGUUAGAUUUUGAAAUUUGAUUGUUAUUCCAUUGCGCUUUCUCUUCUAUUCAAGUGUUUAGUUAAAGGAAAGCCAUACAUUAUCGCCGUUGAGGACCCACAGAUGGCCUUAUAAGUUUUCAUACAUUUUAAUUUCUGCUACUCAACGGGUCACAAUCAUUGGAUAUGUUUCUAAGCACAGGAUUAAUGUUGCUGUAUCAUUUUGUGUUUUCCUUUUCUUUUUCCCUUUCUAUUUAUUGUAUAGUUUGUGCUUCUACAUUUAGAUACUUGAAACUAUAUGAUCCCAAUGUGGGAGGAAAAAACAAGAUAAGAGCAUCCUUAACAGGUUAUUAUAUCAUGUAAAUAUUCACAUACAUAUUUGUUCUGACAAUUGACAACAGGAUCCAAAUAAUGGAAUAGGGAAAAACUCCUAUAAUUAUUUUUAGGUAAGAUUCUUCAUGAAGUCUAUAAUUUUUUACUCUACUUUUCCUUGCGUCAUAAUACCAUUUUUUUCCUCCUCUACUUUGCUUCACUUCCUAAAUCCUCCAACUAUUUGUAUAUUGAAGUGAAAGAGGAAUGAAAACAGCAUUUAAUGAUUUUUGGAUGUACAAAUCUGGGCUUAACAAAAUGUGUGAAUUCUUGAAUAACAAAUUGAUCUUUUCCCUCUUUUAGAUGUUUGGCUAAGUUUAAAAAAAGUACCUGUACACGUGAAAAUUCAAAUUUUAAUCUAGUGGUUUGAAGUCUUGUCCCUCUUUGUAGUCAAAAAAUGUUAAUUAUGGUAUUCCUAUUUUUUAAUUUACAUUUUAAUCUCUUUUUGUAUUUUUUCUUGUUUUUACUGUUUUAAGGAUAAUUCAGACUGGAAUUUGCAUAAUUUAUGAAUUUAUCUGCUUAUUCAUGAAGUUUGUACGUGGUUGUCCAAUGUUGGGGGGUUGAAGUUCCAAAGGACGAGAAC